RNAcentral lists this ribosomal RNA (482 nucleotides) under uncultured bacterium. RNAcentral's name for it is "partial 16S ribosomal RNA". It matches the Rfam family "Bacterial small subunit ribosomal RNA", at positions 28 to 523 of the family's 1533-position model. The record is from RNAcentral.
AAUGAACGUUGGCGGCGUGGAUUAGGCAUGCAAGUCGAGCGAGAACCGUAGCAAUACGGGGACAGCGGCGAAAGGGACAGUAAUGUGUAGGUACCUACCCCUGGGUUCGGGAUAGCUGCGGGAAACUGCAGGUAAUACCGAAUAAUGUCUCCGGACCAAAGGUGUGAUUCCACCUGGGGAGGGGCCUGCAUCCUAUUAGCUUGUUGGCGGGGUAACGGCCCACCAAGGCAACGAUGGGUAGCGGGUGUGAGAGCACGACCCGCGUCAUUGGGACUGAGAUACUGCCCAGACACCUACGGGUGUCUGCAGUCGAGGAUCUUCGGCAAUGGGCGAAAGCCUGACCGAGCGACGCCGCGUGCGGGAUGAAGGCCUUCGGGUUGUAAACCGCUGUCGUUGGGGAGGAAGUGCAGGGGGGUUCUCCCCUCUGUUUGACCUAUCCAAGGAGGAAGUACGGGCUAAGUUCGUGCCAGCAGCAGCCGCAG